Molecule: ribosomal RNA, 377 nt
Filed under: uncultured eukaryote
Lineage: Eukaryota
Description: partial 18S ribosomal RNA
Rfam family: Eukaryotic small subunit ribosomal RNA
Source: RNAcentral
CAAUAGCGUAUAUUAAAGUUGUUGCAGUUAAAAGGCUCGUAGUUGGAUUUCGGGGCAGCCUGGCUGGUCCGCCGCAAGGCGAGUACUGGUCAGCCGCCCUUCCUCUCGAAAGCCCCGACUGCUCUUUACUGUAGUGGUCGGGUAGUUCGGGACGUUUACUUUGAAAAAAUUAGAGUGUUCAAGGCAGGCCUACGCCUGAAUACAUUAGCAUGGAAUAAUGGAAGAGGACCUCGGUCCUAUUUUGUUGGUUUCCAGGGCCGAAGUAAUGAUUAAGAGGGACAGUUGGGGGCAUUCGUAUUUAAUUGUCAGAGGUGAAAUUCUCGGAUUUAUGAAAGACGAACAACUGCGAAAGCAUUUGCCAAGGAUGUUUUCAUUAA